This 2406-nucleotide long non-coding RNA is filed under the name Nicotiana tabacum (common tobacco). Its description in RNAcentral is "long non-coding RNA (NTAB_LNC000220)". The record is from RNAcentral. Lineage: Eukaryota; Viridiplantae; Streptophyta; Magnoliopsida; Solanales; Solanaceae.
GGCCGGUGCAUAAUCUUGCUUCAGAUUUCUCAUAUGAUAGGAAAAUAGUCAAAUACACAAUAUGACGUCUGAAUUGGAGCAUUCAGGAAAGUUACAAAUAAGAUGGGGACUCGAUAUAUAUAUAUAUUACAUGUAUUACAGAACAGUCUCUCUCCCAGCUCCCACUUGGAGAAAGAACGAAUAAAAUUUUACCCAAAAUUAGGACGACAAACGGAUGAAUCAUUUUGCAACUUGCAGGGUGUUUGAUCACGCUCAACUCUGGUCCUAAAAAGAUAAGUGGUCGCUAUAAAUAUAAUCCGGUCUAAAAGUUCAGAAUCGAAUCCCACAGAGAACUAAGGCUUAACUACAGCUGUUUAAUAUAACUAAGAAGACAAGCUCAAACAUUUUCUAAGUUAUUAAGAAUGUAAUGUUUUAUAUAUAUUCUAAACUAACUAACUAAUAAAUCUAAAAAGCAGUAAAACUAUCAAUUAACAAGGAUAAGGGUUGGAGACAAGAUUAAGGAGGCUUAGAGUUAUGAUUUAUCCAAUUUUUGGAAUCCUUUCCACUAUAUCUCCUAUAAAUUCGCCUAAGUAUUCUUUACUGAUCGUGAGUACUUCGGGUGUCGUAAUUCUCUUUCGAGCAACUACCACAAUUUACUAGACAUAUUCUUCCAAACUACGCUAGAUGACACUAAUUCACCACUCACUAAGAAGCGAACAUAUUAGUUAUUUAAACCGAUUCAGAGUCUAUAAACAAGAGUUAAAGUUAAACUAAACUGAUUUUAGAUCUUAUAGGCAUGAUUUCUAAUUUAACAUAAGGCGAAGCAAGCAGAACUUAUUUGUCAAAAGUGAAAUCCCCAUAGACAUGAUUUCUAUUAAAGCUGAUUUAGACCCUAUAGGUAUGAUCUCCAUUAUUAAAGCUAAUUUAGAUCCUAUCGGCAUGGCUUCUAAUUGUGUGCAAGUAAAGCAAACAAAAUUUAUUUGAACCAAAGCAGAUCCUAUAGGUAUAUUAUCCAACAAACAUAUUUUUGAACCAAACGAACCCUUAUAGGCAUGUCAUCUAACAAAACACAUUUGAAUUGAAAUGGACCCUAUAUGCAUGUUAUCUACCCCAACUUUACCCACAAUUUGUGACUACCCACCCUUUUUUCACUAAUCACCCCAAUGUUUGUUUACAAUAAUUAUUAUAGACCAAAAAUUGAACAUAAAUUAAAUAGAAUACAAGUUAAGCUAUAGGGAGCCUGAAGCAGACCCAAAACAAUUAUGGUGUACCAAGCCUUCACUAGUCUCAAAUACCCAAAGUUCCAUAGCCCAAUUCAUGUCUAGUUGUGUCAGAGUUCCCUAAGGACCUCAGAGAUCCUGGGCAGUGCUCACACCCAGACUUUCCUCAAACAAAAACUGAUUAUGUGUAGUGUGGAAGUUCCAACCCUGAUAUGCCAGAGUUCAGAGAGAUCUCAAUGGUCUCAAAGCAGUACACAUACCAGAGGGGCAUGACUUAGUAAUCUAAGAGUAAUGUGAGAGUGCAUAACGAUUUGAAAGAGUUUGGUAAAUAGUAUAAAGAAAGACCUUAAGAGUGAAAAGAGUUUUCUAAAAACAUGUACUGGUUUGAGUAAAAUAGUAGUUGGAAAAGCAUGAAAAGAACGUGCUGAAAUUAGAAUACCAAUCCCAGAACUGCUUCAGAAAACACUUUGACAAACAGACUUCACACAAGUAGAAAGGGGUAGGGGACACCUAGAAUGCACCUUAGUGAUAGCAAACAAAUACACAAAUUCCUCAAGAAGUUAUGGAAUUGACAAGUUAGUUACAAAGAUAUGUUGAGACGAAUACACACAACUAGAGUACCUUUGAAAGGGCUAGAUGUCUUAACAUGAUCUCAUUAGUGAAGUAGAGUAGGUAAGAUUUAGAUGAACAUACUAAACAAGCACUUCAUUAAGCAUUCAAAGUUUUAGAGAUACUAAUCACAUAAAGAACAAGCAGAAUUUUGACAUGCUGGGUGAGGCAAUAAAGAAACAAUGCAGCUUGGACAUACUAGAGAACAAAUAGGAUUCAUGUAAUUAUCUAAAGUAGAAUUGGGCAUGCUAAACAGUAUACUAGUUAUAGCUUUUAACAGAACAAACUUAAACAUGUUGAGUGAUACAGUAAUUAGGCAGUGUAAUCUAAGCAUGUUGGUUAGACAUUGAGCAUAUGACAGAAGAAUAGCAAAUAGAACUAGAAAUCACAACUAAUGAACUGUAGCAACAAAAAAACACAUAGUUUUGGAAUGAGAAUUGAAUCAGAACAUACCAGUUAAGGAGAGAACACAGAGUAUAGAGCAGAGAUGGUGCAAAUAGCCAGCCUUGGCUUACAACCGAUUGGAUUAGUGAGAAUUGCAAGUAACAGAAGAGAAUAGAGAGCUUUUGAGAGUGUGAGAGUGUGGAGGAACUAGUGU